CCUACGGGAGGCAGCAGUUAGGAAUAUUCGUCAAUGGGGGAAACCCUGAACGAGCAAUGCCGCGUGAAGGAAGACGGUCCUCUGGAUUGUAAACUUCUGUUGUAAGGGAAGAACGACCAUUAUAGGAAAUGAUAAUGGAGUGACGGUACCUUUCAAGAAAGCUCCGGCUAACUACGUGCCAGCAGCCGCGGUAAUACGUAGGGAGCGAGCGUUAUCCGGAAUUAUUGGGUGUAAAGCGUGUGUAGGCGGUGAUAUAAGUCUAAGGUUUAAGCCCGGAGCUCAACUCCGGAUCGCCUUAGAAACUG
RNAcentral lists this ribosomal RNA (305 nucleotides) under uncultured bacterium. RNAcentral's name for it is "bacterial SSU rRNA". It matches the Rfam family "Bacterial small subunit ribosomal RNA", at positions 338 to 635 of the family's 1533-position model. The record is from RNAcentral.